UACGUAGGGUGCAGGCGUUAAUCGGAAUUACUGGGCGUAAAGCGUGCGCAGGCGGUUUGCUAAGACAUGUGUGAAAUCCCCGGGCUUAACCUGGGAACUGCGCUUGUUACUGGCAGGCUUGAGUGUGGCAGAGGGGGGUGGAAUUCCACGUGUAGCAGUGAAAUGCGUAGAGAUGUGGAGGAACACCGAUGGCGAAGGCAGCCCCCUGGGCUAACACUGACGCUCAUGCACGAAAGCGUGGGGAGCAAACAGG
This 253-nucleotide ribosomal RNA is filed under the name uncultured bacterium. RNAcentral describes it as "partial 16S ribosomal RNA". It matches the Rfam family "Bacterial small subunit ribosomal RNA", at positions 524 to 776 of the family's 1533-position model. The record is from RNAcentral.